UUCUCUGCUCACUCAGAAGAGAUCCGACACCAGCACUUUGUCUGGACUGCCUGUGAGCCGUUUCCACCAAGGUUUUAGUUUUAUGCUGGUGAAGAUUUCUGGACAGUUUCUGGCAAUGAGUUUUCUUCUUUUUCACCAGCAUAACACACAUGAACACACAGGCAUGCAUUCACACACACACACACACCUCCCUUCUCUUAAGUAGGGCAAAAUGUUAAGUGACAUGAAUUCCUGUAACUCUGGACACUUUCCGGCAACAAACUUUCUUCUUUUUCAGCAGCAUAACCAACAUGCACACACAGGCAUGUACACACACAAAUACACAGAGACCUCCUCUUAAAGUAGGGCAAAAUCCAAGGUUCUGUUGUCCUUGCAGGUGAAUUAAGCGGUCUGUGUUGAGCGACAUGAAUUCCUUUACCGCGUGGCGUUCCAAAGGUGAUUCUCACCCGGGUGUUGCCUGUGCUGUGGCUCUCCUCUACGCCCAAGAAACAGGUCUGCAUCCAGGCUUGGUGGGAAUUUCCACUACAGAAAAAGAAUCAAAUACCCUAGCCACUAUGCCAUGAAAUGCAACCUCUGGCUCCGCAACCUCUCUGAGUUGCUGAAUUCUUCCUUCCAAGUUGCUCGCCAACUACCAGACUCUCUGCGCCAGAUCAGCCAUCACCAUUAUCCUCGUCUCUGAAAAUUGUUCUGUCAAUGAAAUGAUCUACCAUGAAGGACAUCUGUGGAAACAGUCUGUGACGAGAGCCCAUGAAUAAUUUCCACGUGCUCCUGCCAGUCUUUUAAGCUGCAUGUCCUUGAGUCACAGAGACAUGGCUGGGCAGCUGAAAGCAUCACCGAGUAUUCCGUGGACACCACAGUUCACUCAAGUGUUAACUGCUCACAAGGAUACACAACCAGCCUCCCCCAAACAUGAGGCGAUCCAACUGUGUUCUUCCCAUGAGAAGCCAAAGGCAUCUCUCCCCAAGCACAAAGUAGUAAAGAGCCCUGGAUGCCUGGUUCCUAUUCCUGGGAGCGUAUGCAAUUACUCUGUCACCCUGGUCAAUCCCCGCAGGAGCCGACCAUGCGAGCCCAUUAAGAGAACAGUUCAGUCCCACCUGCCUCCUGGAGCCAGCCAACAAUCUCAGCUUCAGCACUCCAUGCUUGAUUAUGUACAGCCAUUGCAAUCCUGAGUGGCAGGAUUUGCAAAGACAGCUGUUGGGCUCCACAAACAUUUGGAGGAGGAGGGGGAAAUGUGAGUUAUAUCAGGGGAAUCCCAAAUGCACAGUGCAUUUAUAUUGGGAGCGAGGUUAUGACAAACUCUGGCCUUGACAGUCCUGAGAGAGAACUGCUGAGUGAAUUAAAGUCCACUUGGAGAGAAGUGGCUAAUGGAUGCUGACGGACUUGGUCCUUGGUCCCAUACCUGACAAGGGAUCACAAAACCGAGGAGGACAGGUGAGAAACUGGAGAAGAUAAAAGGAACCGUCAAUAGGUCAAAAUGACGAGCUAUUAGCAGACCCAAGACCUCAGUCAAGGCUGGAUGUCAUUGCUAAAAAAAAAGCUUCCUAAGAAUUUUGCAUUGGUUAUUCAUAUCACAUAUGAAGAAUGUCAUUCAUUUUAAGGAAACAAAAUUAAAUAAAAACGUUGAAGAGGGUCUAGAGAAAGGGUCCGGAGAAAGAUGAUCAGGAGAGUAGAGGGGCUGGAAGCCAAGCAAUAAAAGGCACAGUUGACUAAGUGGUAAGUACUUAACAUGAAAAAUAGAAGAUUUGCGUAGAUAGGGGAGAUGUCUUUAAAUAAAGACCUAGCAUGAACUGGAAGCUAUAAGCAAACAGAUUUUAAUCCUAAACAAAUUUCCCAACAAUAGAAGUUUCAUGACAAAGAAAGGAAGAGAAAGCUCCGAAGGACUGAGCUCUUUCCUCAUGAGAAGAACUCAAGCAGAUGCAGUCAGCCAUCCACGAGGGUUGUUCCUGAGUGAAAUUCUGCUUUUGAAGACAUCUGGCCUAGUUGAGGGAUUUUUUUUUUCUUUCUUUUCUUUCUGUUUUAGCUACGCCAGUGCUAUGCACAAGUUCUCGGGCCAGGGUUCAAACCUUCUACCCCAGUAGUGUCAACAUCAGCUAGGCCACCAAGGAACUCCCCAAAUUGAGGAAUUUUUAAUUUGAGGUCCAUAGGUGAAUGUCAUGAAGUCUUUGAAUCCUUAAAAAUUAUAUGCAAAUACACACACACACACACACACACACAUAUCAGAUGUCUAUAUAUGAAGUGCCCCCUCCCCUGGGAGAUGGUGCAUAUAUCUCUUCAGAUGCUCAAAGUAGUUCUAUAAAACCUGUGAACCAAAAAAUGGAAUCGCUUCCAAUUCUGCAAUGCUAUUAUUCUGUUUUGCAAAACUAGCCUCACCGUUCACAGAGGUGCUCCCAACAGAAUUAUGUGAUUGAUUUAAUGUUAGGCACAAAGGAGAAUGAACAAUUGGGGAAAACUUUUAAGGUUUUGAGCCUAGUUACUGAGAAGCUAUUGAUACCAUUGAGAGAUAAAUAAAAGGAAGGUGAAGCAAGAAGUCCAUUAUCAGGGGAAGAUAAUAAGUAGAAAUAAAUGGACAGACUGAAGCCUAAGAUUCUAGUACUAAGCAUACUAAGCGCGUAGUCCAAAAAUUCUUUUACUUCAUGGUAGAAAAAUGCUGAAAGCUAGAGAUGUACAAAUAGAGAAGAAGCUACUUGAAAUUUGGAACGAUGAAAUACUGUAACUCAAACUAGUCUAGAGAUCACUUAUUUCAAACCUUUAAUGUUAUAACUGCAGAAACCACAUCUCAGAAAAACUAAGAAACGUACCCUCUAUCAUGGCACCCUGGAUGCCCAUCCAAGUUCACAUUUACAAAUUUCAGGGGGAAAAAAAUCCAGAUUUGUAAAAUAUUCAAAUCUGGAAUAAAGAUACCACUUAAAAUUUCCAGGGAAGGUUAACCACAUAUGAUACACAAAGGUCCACUCUGUUAUGGUAUAAGGUAAGACCACAACACUGCCACUGCCCCGUAAGAGUUAAAAGAGUUUUAAGUAUGAAUUACACGCUUCAGCAUGCUCUGUGAUGUUUCCAUAGUAUUUUUAACCUUAGUCUUCAUAGUCUGAUUUACCUCAGGAAAAUUACAUGGUUCUUAAACUAUAAAGAACAGAGAAGCACAUGGCUGUGCCAUUCAGUGUUAGUCAAUUAGCCACACAAGUCUUGGGGUGGGGGGCAG
Long non-coding RNA from Phacochoerus africanus (Common warthog), 3199 nucleotides. RefSeq lists it as uncharacterized. NCBI's taxonomy places the organism in Eukaryota, Metazoa, Chordata, Mammalia, Artiodactyla, Suidae. The record is from RefSeq and is a predicted model, not a curated record. The transcript has 6 exons.